This 468-nucleotide ribosomal RNA is filed under the name uncultured bacterium. RNAcentral describes it as "partial 16S ribosomal RNA". It matches the Rfam family "Bacterial small subunit ribosomal RNA", at positions 28 to 507 of the family's 1533-position model. The record is from RNAcentral.
GACGAACGCUGGCGGCGUGCUUAACACAUGCAAGUCGAACGGAAAGGCCCUGCUUUUGUCGGGUUCUCGAGGGGCGAACGUGUGUGUAACACGUGAGUAUCCUUCCCUGUACGUUGGGAUAACUGCAGGAAACUGCUGCUACUACCGGCUAGGAGCUCCUGCUGCAUGGUGGGGUUUGGACAUCUUCGGCGGAUGGGGCUGGACUCGCGGGUUAAGAGCUUGUUGGGGGGGGAGUGGCUUACCAAGGCUUUGACGGGUAGUCGGCCUGAGAGGGUGACCGGCGACAAUGGGACUGAGAGACGGACCAGACGGCAACGGGAGGCAGCAGGGGGAAGUAUGGCACAAUGGGGGGAAGCGUGAUGAGGAGACGCCGCGUGCGGGAAGACGGCCUUCGGGUUGUAAACCGCUUUAGCCUGUGACGAAGCGGGAGUGACGGUAAUGGGUAAAGAAGCACCGGCUAACUACGUG